GUAGCUUUGGAUGUUUUUUUCUCUUCUUACAAGACGGUAUGAGCUAGCCGUGUGCUCUUCAUAUGAAACUAUCUCAUUCUCAGCUUUUUUGUAAGAGAUGAGUAAACGGCGAUAUGACUUCCUAUGUACUCCCCGUGUAAGCUUGGGUGAUGCUCGGCCAAUUUUUUUUAAUUUUCUCCCUCUUUUCACACGGCAGGGUGACUUAACAAUUCAAU
Molecule: long non-coding RNA, 215 nt
Filed under: Ricinus communis (castor bean)
Lineage: Eukaryota; Viridiplantae; Streptophyta; Magnoliopsida; Malpighiales; Euphorbiaceae
Description: long non-coding RNA (RCOM_LNC001251)
Source: RNAcentral